Molecule: ribosomal RNA, 429 nt
Filed under: bacterium
Lineage: Bacteria
Also listed under: 1 other name
Description: partial 16S ribosomal RNA
Rfam family: Bacterial small subunit ribosomal RNA
Source: RNAcentral
UAGGGAAUCUUCCACAAUGGACGCAAGUCUGAUGGAGCAACGCCGCGUGAGUGAAGAAGGUUUUCGGAUCGUAAAGCUCUGUUGUUGGUGAAGAAGGAUAGAGGCAGUAACUGGUCUUUAUUUGACGGUAAUCAACCAGAAAGUCACGGCUAACUACGUGCCAGCAGCCGCGGUAAUACGUAGGUGGCAAGCGUUGUCCGGAUUUAUUGGGCGUAAAGCGAGCGCAGGCGGAAUGAUAAGUCUGAUGUGAAAGCCCACGGCUCAACCGUGGAACUGCAUCGGAAACUGUCAUUCUUGAGUGCAGAAGAGGAGAGUGGAAUUCCAUGUGUAGCGGUGGAAUGCGUAGAUAUAUGGAAGAACACCAGUGGCGAAGGCGGCUCUCUGGUCUGCAACUGACGCUGAGGCUAGAAAGCAUGGGUAGCGAACAGG